GACGAACGCUGGCGGCGUGCUUAACACAUGCAAGUCGAGCGGUAAGGCCCUUUCGGGGGUACACGAGCGGCGAACGGGUGAGUAACACGUGGGUGACCUGCCCUCAGCUCUGGGAUAAGCCUGGGAAACCGGGUCUAAUACUGGAUAUGACUCCAUGGCGCAUGUUGUGGGGUGGAAAGCCUUGUGCGGCUGAGGAUGGGCCCGCGGCCUAUCAGCUUGUUGGUGGGGUGAUGGCCUACCAAGGCGACGACGGGUAGCCGGCCUGAGAGGGCGACCGGCCACACUGGGACUGAGACACGGCCCAGACUCCUACGGGAGGCAGCAGUGGGGAACCUUGCGCAAUGGGCGAAAGCCUGACGCAGCGACGCCGCGUGAGGGAUGACGGCCU
This 388-nucleotide ribosomal RNA is filed under the name uncultured bacterium. RNAcentral describes it as "bacterial SSU rRNA". It matches the Rfam family "Bacterial small subunit ribosomal RNA", at positions 28 to 417 of the family's 1533-position model. The record is from RNAcentral.